CCCCCGUGACUCUGGAAGAGGAGCCUGAGGACCAUGAGAUGGACACCAGCAAGCCCCCAGUUCCCCUCAGCCUGUGGACCACCGAGCAGACUGGAGUCCUCCUGAGGCUCUCAAAGCAUGGGCUGGGCCACGAGACCCCGAUGACCAUCCUCCCGAGUUCUUCCGUGACUCCAUCAACCGCUUCGGCACCCACCCAGCUCUGGCCUCGAAGAACGACAACAAAUGGGAGAUGUUGAACUUCACCCAGUACUAUGAGGCCUGUCGGAAGGCUGCCAGGUCCCUCAUCAAGCUGGGUCUGUAGCACUUCCACGCAGUUGGCAUCCUGGGUUUAA
This is a long non-coding RNA of Ochotona princeps (American pika), 332 nucleotides long. RefSeq lists it as uncharacterized. The record is from RefSeq and is a predicted model, not a curated record. Lineage: Eukaryota; Metazoa; Chordata; Mammalia; Lagomorpha; Ochotonidae. The transcript has 3 exons.